Quercus robur (English oak) is the source of this 1606-nucleotide long non-coding RNA. RefSeq lists it as uncharacterized. The record is from RefSeq and is a predicted model, not a curated record. NCBI's taxonomy places the organism in Eukaryota, Viridiplantae, Streptophyta, Magnoliopsida, Fagales, Fagaceae. The transcript has 4 exons.
GAAAUAACUGGUGCCCACCAGGCUAAAAGACAACCAAAUUCAUCUCUCUUAAAGCAAGGGCACAAAGAGGUUUAUCAGAGUGAUGUUGAUGUAGACAAAGCUGUUGACGAGGCACUACAUGAACCAAAAGCAGAACAGGAAGAGAGCAGAUCCAAACAAUCCUCUCCAUCAACUCAAAGCAAAACAAGUUCCACAAAGGAUUCUUACAAUGAAAUCUCCAAACAAGCAUCAGGUCACCCACAACUAGAAGAAGAAGAAGAAGAAACUCAAUUGGUCCCCAGGUCAGCCUUAACGAAGCAUACAGAAGCCCAAGUUGAGAAACACUUAAAAGCAUCAACCUCUCAUCCUACUACACUUGAAAUGUCAUCAGUUGCAGUAGCUAGUCCAACAUCUGAAACUACUGGAUUAAAUGCUCAACCAAUGGUAAAGCAUGAAGAGAGUUCUCCGGAGCCUAUUGACAGUGAGGAUGAUGAUAUGGAGUCCUUUUACACUUCCUUGGGAGCCAAUUCUGAAACUCUUCAGCCUGCAUCCAGCAGUGUAACAACAAAUGUCCAGUCCAGGCCAGGUCAAUCUGACAUAGACAAGGCAUUGGACCUUGUUAAAAAUGUACUAGUAGCUGACUUCUCUUCUGCCUGUCAUCCUGGCCAUUCCAUUUCUUUAAAUUCAGCAUUAGAAUUGUUGUGUGACUUGGAUGAAAAUGAUGGCUUCUCUGAUAAAAUGAAAUCCCUAGUGCUUCAACUCUCAAAGGACUUCAAAGAUCUGAAAAGUUGAUUCUGCCAAGCCAGUGACACCAUCGAAAAGUGCACCAAUCUGAUCAAGCCUAUGGCUGAGAUAGCAUCUCAACUGGAUGAGAAUAAAGAAAAGUACUUGAAGCUCAAAUCAGUUAUUAUUGAGGCUGAAGCACAGAUACAACACAUGCAUGACAUGCAAACAACAGUUGGAAAGAGUAUCUCUGGAGACGAAGGACAAAUAAAUGAGCUAAAACAAAAAAUAGAUUCUUUGAUGAAACAAAAGGGAAAGGCAAAGCAGGAGAAGAAAACAAUCUACGAUGAUGGAAAGAAGCUGAAGGAAAAGUAUGAUGUGGCAGCUAAUGCAGAGGAGGAGAAGAAGACAGCUCAGUAGAUCAAGAGGAAGAUUGAAGAAAAGUGGUCACACUACAAUAAUCAGUUCAAGAGCUUUACAUGCAGUGGAGGAAUCAGCAUGGAUGAUAUAGGCCAGGCUGAAGAAACAACCAAAUUAAUUCAUUUUGCUUAAUGCAACGGUAAAAGGGUAAAUGCACAUUAUCUUCUGUUGUACAUAAUUUUGUGCUUGUGUGUGUGUGUGAGAGAGAGAGAGAGAGAGAGAGAGAGAGAGAGAGAGAUUCAUGUUGAAAGGGGGGCUGCUUCAAAAAUGUUUGGAGGACUAAAUUCAAAAGUGAGGAUGCUGGUGCCAACAUAACCAUCUUCUAUGAGCAUAAGAUGGUGCAGGCUCAUCAUAGCAUAUAACACUGAAAGAAGUUGUGCACAUCCAACAUUACACUAUUCAUGUGCAAUAUUAAGCAGCUGCAGCUUAGAAGAGCAGAUAUUGUUCAAGUUGUUAGUUUGGUAUUGUUUUGUGAUUGUAUUGU